This is a non-coding RNA of Bursaphelenchus xylophilus (pine wood nematode), 46 nucleotides long. Lineage: Eukaryota; Metazoa; Nematoda; Chromadorea; Rhabditida; Aphelenchoididae. The record is from Rfam.
CAAUCGGCCCUCUUCAGGGCCACAAAAAAACUGCUUUAUAUUUGAU